GGAAUAUCGCCUGGCUAUGGGGCAUACGAGCCCAACCAGCUGGCUCUAGGAGUCUAGACAUCAAUCAACACCUUGGCCAUGUUGAUUGACAGGCGAAACGACAGCAUUGAAAAAUAAAUCUGUCAUUUGCAUUUUGAGUUUCGUUUGAAAUCAAUAUGAAUGUGGUACUUGAGAGCCAUUUGCUGUUUUUUUGUUGUUGUGGUUUUGGUUGUUGUUGUUGUUGCUUCCAAAGUCAAUUUGUCAAAAACAUGCCGAGCACCAAAAAAAAAAAAAAACUUAGAAUCAAAGGCUUUUCAUAAAAUUUCAGUGUCAGGCGCAUUUGCAUCUUCGAAAUGGAAAAUCCGUUGGUUUUGUCGGCAGCGGCAGCAGUAGGAGCAGUAGAUGAAAGAUGUAGAAGAGGAGCAUUACAAAGUCACGACGCACAUUUUUCAUUUUUAUGGUUUUUGUAUGUGGGCGCAGCAGCAGCAGCAGCAGCAAAAACAACAGCAACAACAACAGCAACAGCAAUGACAAUUUAAUGCCUUUAAAACAGCAAAAUGCCGUUAAACCGGCAAAAGGAAAUAAUGUACAACAAGGAGCAUCCCGGACUGUCUACCGGAUUCGUGUUUCUGGUUUCUCUUAUUAUCCCGUUGCCGCCUGACAAAUAAACACUAUGUGCGUGUA
This is a long non-coding RNA of Drosophila mojavensis, 663 nucleotides long. RefSeq lists it as uncharacterized. NCBI's taxonomy places the organism in Eukaryota, Metazoa, Arthropoda, Insecta, Diptera, Drosophilidae. The record is from RefSeq and is a predicted model, not a curated record. The transcript is spliced from 2 exons.